Molecule: microRNA precursor, 63 nt
Filed under: Drosophila melanogaster (fruit fly)
Lineage: Eukaryota; Metazoa; Arthropoda; Insecta; Diptera; Drosophilidae
Also listed under: 1 other name
Description: Dme-Mir-190_pre stem-loop
Rfam family: mir-190 microRNA precursor family
Source: RNAcentral
AGAUAUGUUUGAUAUUCUUGGUUGUUUCAUUCAAAAGUUCACCCAGGAAUCAAACAUAUUAUU